This 253-nucleotide ribosomal RNA is filed under the name uncultured bacterium. Its description in RNAcentral is "partial 16S ribosomal RNA". It matches the Rfam family "Bacterial small subunit ribosomal RNA", at positions 524 to 776 of the family's 1533-position model. The record is from RNAcentral.
UACAGAGGGUGCAAGCGUUGUUCGGAAUUAUUGGGCGUAAAGGGAGUGUAGGCGGUUUGUUAAGUCUUCUGUGAAAUCUACGGGCUUACCCUGUAAAGUGCAGAGGAAACUAGCAGGCUUGAGUGUCGGAGAGGAUCGUGGAAUUCUCGGUGUAGAGGUGAAAUUCGUAGAUAUCGAGAGGAACACCGGUGGCGAAGGCGGCGAUCUGGACGAUGACUGACGCUGAGACGCGAAAGCGUGGGGAGCAAACAGG